Molecule: long non-coding RNA, 1281 nt
Organism: Acanthochromis polyacanthus (spiny chromis)
Lineage: Eukaryota; Metazoa; Chordata; Actinopteri; Pomacentridae
Exons: 4
Source: RefSeq, a predicted model, not a curated record
GAGAUGGUGGAAGCUCCUCACAUUUUGGUUCUGCUCCUUAAGAGAUUUGUCUUUGACUACAACACCAUGUCAGAUGUGAAGUCAGACUGCAGUGUGGACGUACCACGGGAAAUAAAAACACAGGCAAGAAGUAGUAGCUUUUAAAGGUGUACCGUGGAUGUCUGCGCUGAAAAACUUUUCAUAUAUCUGCCUCUGUAUGUUGUUGUAGAGCAAGAAGUACAAACUGUAUGGGAUUGUGAAUCACAUGGGCAGUCUGAGAGGAGGACAUUACACAGCCACAGUCCAGUCCAGAGAAGACAAAACCUGGUAUGACUGCGAUGACACUCACGUCCAAAAGGCUGAAGAACAACCAUUUGCAAAAGCCAGGAUCUACAAUUCCAGCACUGCAUACCUGCUCAUGUACAGAGCCUCUGUGAGCAGAGACAAGGUGAAAGAAGAUCAGGAAGAGUCCCACAAGAGUUCAGCUAACAUCAAGAAGAGCCCUCUUCUGAUUCUGCUCAUCAUUUUAGGUUGUGCACUAAUUAUAAUAGUUAUUGUUGUGCUGGCAACUCUGAACAGAAAUUGAGAGAGGAAGGAUACUUACUGUGCAUGGAUUCAGAAACAACAGCCUGAAUUAUAAUCAGUAAUCUUCUAUGAGGAUGACCAAGAAAAUGUUUGUAUGUGUGUAUGGAGCUAUGUUUUGUAGACAGCAGUGAUUAAUGUUAUGAAUGCACGUUAUUUUUUGUUUGUUUUGUGUUAACAGAAAAGGGGAAAAUCGUUUGAAUAAUCAAGGGACAAAAUCAGUUGUACGUUUGUGUGAUUAUGAAGAACUAACGUCGACUAAAUCUGAUUUUAAAGAGAUGUAGUUUCAAAUGCAAAAAGAUUUACUGCACAAGUGUUUUGCAUUCACUGAACAGAUGCUGCCUCAAAGUAAAAAGAGGCCUUGAAAAUGUACUUUCAGCACUAUAUUCUUUUUCAGAGUGAUAACAGUUUUAGUUUUUGUGAAAGAGUUCUUGAAUGAUGUGUAUAUUUCAUUUUUUGUAUUCAUCUUGGGUGAGGUUUUGUUAAAAAUAAUAACAAAAAUACAGUAAGUGUCAUGUAUUCCUCUGCACAAAUCUGGAAUUGGCAAUAUUUGACUCAGAAUCUGAUUCCAUAGUUUUCUACAUAAGAUAAAGUACACUGAGCUAUCGACACUUUCUGAAGUCUUUCUUUGUCUGAAGAAACAUAUUUUUGCUACUUUUUUUAAAUUUGAGAAAUCCCAAAUAGAAGAACAUUAAAAACAUCUUAAAACAUAAUUAUGAG